RNAcentral lists this non-coding RNA (76 nucleotides) under Streptomyces bingchenggensis. The record is from RNAcentral. Lineage: Bacteria; Bacillati; Actinomycetota; Actinomycetes; Kitasatosporales; Streptomycetaceae. RNAcentral also lists the same sequence under 1 other name.
GGGGAACCCGGUGAGAGUCCGGGGCUGACGCGCAGCGGUGUGGGACGGCUGGAGGCCGACCCGAGCCCGAAUGCCC